UACGUAGGUGGCAAGCGUUAUCCGGAUUUAUUGGGCGUAAAGCGAGCGCAGGCGGUCUUUUAAGUCUGAUGUGAAAGCCUUCGGCUUAACCGGAGUAGUGCAUUGGAAACUGGGAGACUUGAGUGCAGGAGAGGAAAGGGGAAUUCCCAGUGUAGCGGUGAAAUGCGUAGAUAUUGGGAGGAACACCAGUGGCGAAGGCGCCUUUCUGGUCUGUAACUGACGCUGAGGUUCGAAAGCGUGGGUAGCAAACAGG
This 253-nucleotide ribosomal RNA is filed under the name uncultured bacterium. Its description in RNAcentral is "partial 16S ribosomal RNA". It matches the Rfam family "Bacterial small subunit ribosomal RNA", at positions 524 to 776 of the family's 1533-position model. The record is from RNAcentral.